UGUACGCACGAAGAUCGACUCCCUGCUCCUCGCCUGUUCUCUUACUUUUAUCCUCAACUCUCCGACAAACGGCUGACAGUGUUACUAUGUGACUGAAAAUUAAACUGACAAAGGUCGGUACACUAGAUUUGCCUACGAGCACGAGUACAUCCAAUAUGCACUGUUACAUUUCAUCAGGCAACUUUUUUGGUAUCUAUAUAUUUUUAGUGUGCCGCUUAGGCAAUCGAGACUAAACGUUUGUACUUGUUACUACAGCUUUGACAUUUACUUAUUUAUUUUUUUUAUAGGUUUGCAGUUCCGGGUGACUGCGGAAGGUUGAUAACUUGUGUUGAAGGACAUCCUAGAUUAAUAACCUGCGGCGAUGGGCAACUUUUUGAUUCUGUCACUUUGAGUUGCAUGGACCCCAAAGAAUAUCCGUUAUGCGCUAAAGAAGCUUAGAUGGCAUCUAAAGGAUACACAGACCGUUCUAAAAGAUGAAUACAAAUAUAUUUCCAGUACAAUUGAUAACGGGGGAGGGGCAAUAUGUAUGUGAAUAUACGUAGAUGUAAAAAAUUUUUUUUACAAAUGAUAUUAUAAUAACAAUUUGAGUAUCUGGCCAUUUUUGGGUUUGUAACUUUCAUGUUCAAUUAAUAAUACUAAAUAAAAUAAGAUUUACAAAUCAA
Cotesia glomerata is the source of this 662-nucleotide long non-coding RNA. RefSeq lists it as uncharacterized. The record is from RefSeq and is a predicted model, not a curated record. Lineage: Eukaryota; Metazoa; Arthropoda; Insecta; Hymenoptera; Braconidae. The transcript is spliced from 2 exons.